Molecule: non-coding RNA, 442 nt
Organism: Dermacentor andersoni
Lineage: Eukaryota; Metazoa; Arthropoda; Arachnida; Ixodida; Ixodidae
Source: RefSeq, a predicted model, not a curated record
CAAGCUUCAGUCAUCACUCGUGUGCUGUGUCACAACUUAGUCAAUGCAGCUGUGAAGCAGUGGCCAUCAAAGCACUGCACAACAGAACCACUCCAUACAAUGCAAUGAACUAGCCAUAAUAUCAAAUUCUUGUGUUUCUCUUAGGGGAAUGAAAGGAUUGGCACCUUUUACUGAGAACAGUCAGUCUAAGAACCUUUCAAAGCGAACCACGUACUUCAUACGUGGACAGGUAUUGUCCGAGAGAGGAGGCAAGAAACAGCGAUGGUGCGUGAGAGGAAGUUGACCAAUCAAGCACGGAAGGAGGUACUCACCAACCAUCUUAAUGGGCAGCUUGAGAGCCGCCACAGCUGCAAAGGUGGCAACAACGCAGGCAGCACCGGUCAUGUCGGCCUUCAUCCGGUCCAUGUUGGCCGAUGGCUUCAGGGAGAUGCCACCGCUGUCA